AGUAACGCGUGAGUAACCUGCCCUCUGGUGGGGUAUAGCCACGAGAAAUCGUGAUUAAUCCCGCAUAAGAUCUCUUUACCUUGGUAUUGAGAUGAAAGCCUUCGGGCGCCGGAGGAGGGGCUCGCGUCCUAUCAGGUUGUUGGUGAGGUAAUGGCUCACCAAGCCUAUGACGGGUAGCUGGUCUGAGAGGACGACCAGCCAGAGGGGGACUGAGACACGGCCCCCACUCCUACGGGAGGCAGCAGCAGGGAAUCUUGGGCAAUGGGCGAAAGCCUGACCCAGCGACGUCGCGUGGAGGAAGAAGGCUUUUGGGCUGUAAACUCCUUUUUCCAAGGGAAGAGAAAGGACGGUACCUUGGGAAUAAGCUCCGGCUAACUACGUGCCAGCAGCCGCGGUAAUACGUAGGGAGCGAGCGUUACCCGGAAUUACUGGGCGUAAAGUGCGCGUAGGCGGCUUGGUAAGUCUCUUGUGAAAGCUCCUGGCUUAACUGGGAGAGGUCAAGGGAAACUAUCUAGCUAGAGGGCAGCAGAGGAAAGCGGAAUUCUCGGUGUAGCGGUGAAAUGCGUAGAUAUCGAGAGGAACACCAGUGGCGAAGGCGGCUUUCUGGGCUGUACCUGACGCUGAGGCGCGAGAGCGUGGGGAGCAAACAGGAUUAGAUACCCUGGUAGUCCACGCCCUAAACGAUGAAUGCUAGGUAUAGGGGGUAUCGACCCCUCCUGUGCCGCAGCUAACGCGAUAAGCAUUCCGCCUGGGGACUACGGCCGC
Molecule: ribosomal RNA, 765 nt
Filed under: uncultured bacterium
Lineage: Bacteria
Description: bacterial SSU rRNA
Rfam family: Bacterial small subunit ribosomal RNA
Source: RNAcentral